Molecule: ribosomal RNA, 253 nt
Filed under: uncultured bacterium
Lineage: Bacteria
Description: partial 16S ribosomal RNA
Rfam family: Bacterial small subunit ribosomal RNA
Source: RNAcentral
UACAGAGACUGCGAGCGUUAUUCGGAUUCACUGGGCGUAAAGGGCGCGUAGGCGGCCUGCUAAGUCAGACGUGAAAUCCCCCGGCUUAACCUGGGAACUGCGUCUGAUACUGGGAGGCUUGAGUAUGGGAGAGGGAUGUAGAAUUCCAGGUGUAGCGGUGAAAUGCGUAGAUAUCUGGAGGAAUACCGGUGGCGAAGGCGGCAUCCUGGACCAUAACUGACGCUGAGGCGCGAAAGCUAGGGGAGCAAACGGG